Micropterus salmoides (largemouth bass) is the source of this 264-nucleotide long non-coding RNA. RefSeq lists it as uncharacterized. Lineage: Eukaryota; Metazoa; Chordata; Actinopteri; Centrarchiformes; Centrarchidae. The transcript has 2 exons. The record is from RefSeq and is a predicted model, not a curated record.
CAAGAAAAUACUCAGAGAUUGAAAGCACAUUUCUCUUUGACUUUCAGUGGCAGAAUCAUCACUUAUGCCUGGAUGCAUCUGAAGAAGAUUUAUCUCUCGGAAGAUUGGUCAAUGACAACCACCAAAAUCCAAAUUGCGUUAUGAAAAAAAUCAUAGUUGACAACAAACCACAUUUGUGCCUUUUUUCUCUGAAGAAAAUAGAAAUAGGAGAUGAAAUUGAUUACAACUAUGGUGAUUCAAAAUGGCCUUGGCGCUGUAAGGUGA